UUUAAAGAGAGUUUGAUCCUGGCUCAGGACGAACGCUGGCGGCGUGCCUAAUACAUGCAAGUCGAACGAACGGAGGAAGAGCUUGCUCUUCCAAAGUUAGUGGCGGACGGGUGAGUAACACGUGGGCAACCUGCCUGUAAGUUGGGGAUAACUCCGGGAAACCGGGGCUAAUACCGAAUGAUAAAAUGUGGCGCAUGCCACGCUUUUGAAAGAUGGUUUCGGCUAUCGCUUACAGAUGGGCCCGCGGUGCAUUAGCUAGUUGGUAGGGUAAUGGCCUACCAAGGCAACGAUGCAUAGCCGACCUGAGAGGGUGAUCGGCCACACUGGGACUGAGACACGGCCCAGACUCCUACGGGAGGCAGCAGUAGGGAAUCUUCCGCAAUGGACGAAAGUCUGACGGAGCAACGCCGCGUGUAUGAAGAAGGUUUUCGGAUCGUAAAGUACUGUUGUUAGAGAAGAACAAGGAUAAGAGUAACUGCUUGUCCCUUGACGGUAUCUAACCAGAAAGCCACGGCUAACUACGUGCCAGCAGCCGCGGUAAUACGUAGGUGGCAAGCGUUGUCCGGAUUUAUUGGGCGUAAAGCGCGCGCAGGCGGUCUUUUAAGUCUGAUGUGAAAGCCCCCGGCUUAACC
RNAcentral lists this ribosomal RNA (632 nucleotides) under Listeria monocytogenes. Its description in RNAcentral is "bacterial SSU rRNA". It matches the Rfam family "Bacterial small subunit ribosomal RNA", at positions 1 to 614 of the family's 1533-position model. Lineage: Bacteria; Bacillati; Bacillota; Bacilli; Caryophanales; Listeriaceae. The record is from RNAcentral.